RNAcentral lists this unclassified non-coding RNA (383 nucleotides) under uncultured fungus. RNAcentral's name for it is "sequence contains ITS1". The stretch from base 1 to 106 matches the Rfam family "5.8S ribosomal RNA", at positions 50 to 154 of the family's 154-position model. Lineage: Eukaryota; Fungi. The record is from RNAcentral.
GAAAUGCGAUACGUAAUGCGAAUUGCAGAAUUCAGUGAAUCAUCAAAUCUUUGAACGCAAAUUGCGCUUUCUGGAUAGGCCAGGGAGCAUGCCUCUUUGAGCAUCGUUUCUACCCCAUCUCGGCAGCUUGUCUGUCGGAUAAUGAGAUGUCUUACUUGAAAUAAGUAAGUCUCUUUAAGAAGCGUGAGUUCCUAAACUCCUAGACAAACAUAACUCUUGUAGAGUUUCUAAGUUUCUAGUGACAUGGAUAAUCUUUUUUAAACUUAUGUCAUUGGAAGAAGUGAAAUGAUACUUGAGUUCUAGGUAAACUUGAACUCGAUAAGAAAAUUAUUAUAAUUUUUGAAUUAGAUCUCAAAUGAAGCAAGAUUACCCGCUGAACUUAA